UACAGAGGUCUCAAGCGUUGUUCGGAUUCAUUGGGCGUAAAGGGUGUGUAGGUGGCGCGCUAAGUCGGGUGUGAAAUUUCGGAGCUUAACUCCGAAACUGCAUUCGAUACUGCCGUGCUUGAGGACUGGAGAGGAGACUGGAAUUUACGGUGUAGCGGUGAAAUGCGUAGAUAUCGUAAGGAAGACCAGUGGCGAAGGCGGGUCUCUGGACAGUUCCUGACGCUGAGGCACGAAGGCCAGGGGAGCAAACAGG
Molecule: ribosomal RNA, 253 nt
Filed under: uncultured bacterium
Lineage: Bacteria
Description: partial 16S ribosomal RNA
Rfam family: Bacterial small subunit ribosomal RNA
Source: RNAcentral